UUUGUGAACCUGGUCAGGUCCGGAAGGAAGCAGCCACAGCAAAUGACGUGUGUGCCGGGAUGUGGCUGGUGGGG
This 74-nucleotide signal recognition particle RNA is filed under the name Photobacterium damselae subsp. damselae. RNAcentral describes it as "partial signal recognition particle sRNA small type". It matches the Rfam family "Bacterial small signal recognition particle RNA", at positions 24 to 97 of the family's 97-position model. From Rfam's summary of the family: The signal recognition particle (SRP) is a universally conserved ribonucleoprotein involved in the co-translational targeting of proteins to membranes. Archaeal SRP consists of a 7S RNA and homologues of the eukaryotic SRP19 and SRP54 proteins. Lineage: Bacteria; Pseudomonadati; Pseudomonadota; Gammaproteobacteria; Vibrionales; Vibrionaceae. The record is from RNAcentral.